CCUACGUCAAGAUGGCGACCGUGACGACUUUUCAAUAGAGACAGACCAGGGCUAGUAGGAGGGCCGCUGCAGGCGUUUGGGCCUCAGUGUAGGAGCGAAAAGGGUGGACUCUCAGCUCAGAAAGGUGCUGACAGAGAAGAACCAUGUGUGAUGUUGAGUCUGCUAGACAAAUUACUGGAGCAAGAGUGAAGAGAUCAGGGUCCUAUCACUGGGACACUUUAGGAGCUCGGAGCGCUUUUUCAGAUGGGAAUCCCACUGCCCUGUUCCCGAGGCAUUGCUGCUUAGGAGCAGGGCUACUCUGCGCCCCUUGGACAGGUGCUGGACAUUGCUGGAUAGAGCUAGAGAAAAAUGCAGAACAAAAUUCUAACUCAGAAAGACCAGACUUGCUGGCCGGACGGAGUCUGGAGAAACCCUGAGAGUAUGGCCCCUGGAUACCCUUUCAGCUCAGUAAUGAAGUCACUCCUGAGGUUCACCUUUCAGCCAAAGAUUGGAGAGGCCCAUGAAACAAAACAAGAAUAAAGGGGCACACCAGCCCAGGAACAAGGACUAGAAGCUACCUGAUGGAAGAGGAGGAAGGAAGAAAUGUAAGGAGAACAAAUACCCAUGAACGUCUCUGCAGUGAGAGCUGCCAUCUCUGCCUUCCCUGCCACGCAUGUUCUCAUUCAGAGCUCCGAAAACGGACACACCCAUUUUCUCAGCUAAAAGGCUGGAGGGAGCACUAACAGAAUCUGCAGGUGCAAUUCUCAGUCACUUUUUCCCUGAUGUCUUCAACGUCUUAGAGUUUCCCAGGUGCCAGUUAGUCUAAAACAUGUCUCAGUGUAUCCUGAACAUAAAACAUCUGCCCGUUUGCCCAGGCCUAAUUUUCUGGCUUUCAUGCACACUGUUAUUCAUCUAGCCUGUACAUCCAGAGCUGAAUCUGGCCAACCUGUUGAAAGAAGACAGGGAUUGCACGGAGUUAGUUUUCACGUGACCGUGAAACUGCUACCCAAAUCCUUGGUUAGGCAAGGGAUUCGUCCCAUUUAGAACUUGAGCUGGUUUUGCUGUACAAGUCCUGGGCAUAUGGUUAUCUUCUUUUCCUUUUAUUAUUUCUGGUUGCCCAAGUAAGGUACUCCAAAAGUGUUCUAAUUCACAUGCGUUGAUUGCUCCUGGGGCCCUCACUGGAUGAGAGUGACAGAACUUUUACCCGGAAUGCCUCUGUGUAUGGAUUCUCCUCCUGUGGGAGCUGUGUAGAUGCGCCUGGGACAAUUUCAUGCAGACUCUACCCUUCCCCUUGCCUGUGGGGAUUCACUGGUUGGCUAACUAGGUGGUUAAACAGUUAAACCUACUUUCAAUUCAAGGGGCUUUAUUUGGGAGAGUACAGUAGGAAGUAUAUUGUGAAACUGCUUUCAUGUCAUGACCUUCACUAAAAUCCUGGCAAGUAGAGAUGCUGUCUGACUGUUGAACAUGAAGUUUACUUGAGAGACAUUCUUGCCGUUCUCCUGUUGUUGUUGUUAGGCACUGUCGAGUUGGUUCCGACUCAGCGACCCUAUGCACAACAGAACGAAACGCUGCCCAGUCCUGCGCCAUCCUUACAGUCGUUGUUAUGCUUGAACUCAUGGUUGCAGCCACUGCGUCAGGCCACCUUGUUGAAGGUCUUCCUCUUUUCUGCUGACCCUGUACUUUGCCAAGCAUGAUGUCCUUCCCCAGGGACUGAUCCCUCCUGACAACAUGUCCAAAGUAUGUAAGAUGCGGUCUCACCAUCCUUGCCUCUAAGGAGCAUUCUGGCUGUACUUCUUCCGAGACAGAUUUGUUUGUUCUUUUGGCAGUCCGUGGCAUAUUCAAUACUCUUCGCCAACACCGCAAUUCAAAAGCGUCAGUUCUUCUUCGGUCUUCCUUAUUCAUUGUCCAGCUUUCCCAUGCAUAUGAUGCGAUUGAAAAUACCAUGGCUUGGGUCAGGCACACCUUAAUCUUCAGAGUGACAUCUUUGUUCUUCAACACUUUGAAGAGGUCCUUUGCAGCAGAUUUACCCAAUGCAAUGCGUCUUUUGAUUUCCUGACUGCUGCUUCCGUGGCUGUUGAUCAUGGAUCCAAGUAAAAUGAAAUCCUUGACAACUUCAAUCUUUUCUCCGUUGAUCAUGAUGUUGCUCAUUGGUCCAGUUGUGAGGAUUUUUGUUUUCUUUAUGUUGAGGUGUAAUCCAUACUGAAGGCUGUGGUCUUUGAUCUUCAUUACUAAGUGCUUCAAGACCUCUUCACUUUCAGCAAGCAGAGUUGUGUCAUCUGCAUAACGCAGGUUGUUAGUGAGUCUUCCUCCAAUCCUGAUGCCCCGUUCUUCUUCAUAUAGUCCAGCUUCUCAGAUUAUUUGUUCAGCAUAUAGAUUGAAUAGGUAUGGUGAAAGAAUACAACCCUGACGCACACCUUUCCUGACUUUAAACCAAUCAGUAUCCCCUUGUUCUGUCCAAAUAACUGCCUCUGGAUCUAUGUAAAGGUUCCUCAGGAGCACAAUUAAGUGUUCUGGAAUUCCCAUUCUUUGCAACGUUAUCCAUAGUUUGUUAUGAUCCACACACUCAAAUGCCUUUGCAUAGUCAAUAAAAACACGCAGUAUCCCCUUAUUCUGUUCGAACAACUGCCUCUUGAUCUAUGUAAAGGUUCCUCAUGAGGACAAUUAAGUGUUCUGGAAUUCCCUUCUCCUAGACAUGUGCAUUUUCCCUGAACCUGCUCAGUUGGGACUGUCAUGUGGGUAGAUUCAUAAAUUAUUCUGGGACCACCCUAUUACCUAAUUUCUUUGGCUUAGGGAUGAUCCCCAUUCUGAUGCAAAGGAGACAUCUUAUCACAGAUUUCACCCUCGAAUUUGCCCGUUUGUUCAUUUCCCUUAAAAAAGAAAAAAACCCCAAACUCAUUGCCAUCGAGUUGAUUCUGACUCAUAGCAACCCUGUAGGACAGAGUAGAACUGCCCCAUAGGGUUUCCAAGGAGCGGCUGGUGGAUUCAAACUGCCCACCUUUUUUUUUUUUUCGUUAGCAGCCAAGCUCUUAACCACUGUGCCACCAGGGCUCCUCAUUUCCCUUAGAACCCUUCUGUUUCCACCUUAGAGUUAAUGAGAGACUUCCAAUGGAGCACUACGGGUUUUAAGCUCAGUAUAUAUUUAGUUAUUAAUGAGUGGAAGAAUGGAUAGUUGUGUUAUCAAAGAAAUGGUAGUUAUUCUUGGAUUUUCAUCUCUGUGAGGCAGCAGCAGAUGGCUGACAUCAUGCCAUGAUGUGGCCGGAUGAUGCGUGAUCUGAGGACCACUGCUCAGAUGACUGACUGUGAGAUGGGUCCAGGAUUAUUCUGUAAACAUGUUAACCUGCCAAGCAGCCCAGGAGCAGAUGUUAGGCAGAGCACCACACCUUGCUUCCCUGGUGGGAUCCGUCACUGAGAUCACCUGGAGAGUUUAGAGACAAGCCUGUCUUCCAUACAGGGCAGGUGGGUUUGGGUCGGCUCCGAGGCUUCUGAAAUACCCAAGACAGUGGAAAACCCUCUGUCUCCAAAAUUGUGAACUCAAACAUAUCCCAGUUAUUUCUUCCUUCAUCUAGAUACCUGCAUUCUCAUUUGGAGAAAACAAUGAGAACUGUUUUCACAAUGCCUGUGUUAGUCUGAGGCUGAGGCAGCCCCUACUGCUGUACCUCAACAUUUAAAGGGUGAUUGAAGUCCUGCCACCUGCCAUAUGCGCUGUGCUCUGAAUUUUCUCGUCUGUCCCUCAGAACAGCUCUGUGGGGAAGGUAUGGUGAGUCCGAUUUCACAGAAGAACGAGCUCAGGGUUAGAGGACCUGAGUCACCUCUCCAGAUAAGCGGCAGGAUUGCAAUGAGGUUCCCUCCCGUGCCCUCCCUAGAAGACACCGAGCAGCCUCCCCUUUAGAACACGGACUUCCAGGGCUUGAGAAUUGGCCCUUUUACACCCCCUGCUAUUGUGGCCCCAUGAUACCCACUCAACCACUUGGUAAACAAGAUGAUAGUGGAGAUGAACUCCUGCCCUUUGUGCCAAGAGACCUGAGGGCAGGGCCACUUCAAUUGUCCCAUCCCUGAAGAGGUGAGUGGGCCUCAGGCAGAGCACAGGUGUUGCCCUGGGGCAGAUGAUCUAGAGGGAAGGACAUUAACAGGCACAGAGCUACUUUCAUUGCAAGGUACACUUUAUAUCUCAUCUCCUUGAAUCCUGACAGCUAUCAGGUUACCCAUUAUUUGACGCUUUAUCCAUAUUAGGGUUCUGACUUUAGAGGAAUUUAAGUAAAUCAGGAAACAACUUUGUUGUCUCCCGAUCAGCACUUAACUGACAUUAUUCUAAAUUCUCACAUUUUGUCUUCAAGCCUCCAGGGUUUCCGGGGUGUUGUUUAACUUUUUCUGUUUUUUUAAAUGAUGACCUGUAUAGUUUUCAAAAUUAUUAUUCCACAUCAUUGUUGAAAUAAUUAACAGUAAUCUUAUUAUUAUUCAAUACAGUAUUAUUGAAGCUUUAAAAACACACCAAGAAUUGUGUGAAAAUCAGGGAGAACACAUUUGUUAACUACCGGUGCAUCUCAGAUACUGUGUUGGUAUUCAUGGUUUGUGAAGCACACUUACUAACAAACAGAGAUUGGCAAGUAAUUUCAACAGAGAAUUCACAGUAAAAUAUACGUGAACAGUAAGCAGGUUAAAAUAUGCCAAGACCAGAAGAACUAAUUAGAUGCAAAUAUAAAUCCUGAGGAUUAAUAUUAACUAAUUAACAUUUAGUGACAAAGACAAGUUGCAAAAGAGGAUGAGUAAUGUACUUCCUCUCUAGGUGUGGCUGUGCAGGUGUACGUGUUUUUGUCUGCCUCACUAACAGGAACAACCCAGAGAACAUGCACCAUUCUAUUGACAACACACGUCUUGGGGUCAGGGGGUGUGAGUCCAGCCAGUGAGAGAUACAGGGUAUUUUCAGUUUAUAAAUAUACUUUAAUAUGUUGUUUGAAAUCUUGCAUUCAGGAAAUAAAGUAGUCUACAUAUUUGGAAGACAAAGAUUCAUGAACAGAUUGAUAACCAAGUAAUGCGCAUAUAGGUUCACUGUAUUGAGCUUUAUGGGGAAAUGAAGUAGAUAAAAAUAAUUGUUUUGACUGCUCGUGUGUGUGUGUGUGUGUGUGUGUGUGUGUGUCUAGGUCUUCUCUAGCUCUCUCACCCCAAAUACACACAGGUGCAGCUUUACAUUCUGCUCAGACUGUUCACUUCCAGCCUCACUUUGAAUAUCCCGGAAAAUGAUGGAUACAAAGAAAUUGUUACCAAUGGUUGAAAAAUUCCAGAAAAGUCUGUCUGCUGCCAUUAAGCCAAGAUCCCAACCUCCAUCCUUCUAGCCUUCCUGACGCCCCUGGUCCCACUCUCAGAGUAGCAGUCCUGGGUCUGGCCACCACGUGGCAUUCAUUGUCGUUUCUUUUUCUUUUUUAAACAAAAGUGCAUUUUGCACAGCGAAACAAACGUCACGAAAGGGCUUGUUUACUACGAUAUCAAUUCGGUUUGAAAAAUUCGUAUGUGUAUUAAAGCAGUUACAUUUUCUCUUGACCCCAACUCUCUGUCUCAUUCAUUGAUUUGUUUUUUUCCUCAUGAGUGUCAGCUUACACGUCCACACUGCAGAGAGGGCCCUGGCAAGAGAGCAGGGCUUCACACUCCAUCACCGCAUCCCUACAAAGGCCUCACAGACACUCGCAUUCUGUCACCCUUCUCCAGGCCACUCUGGACACAGCUGCCCAGACCUUGCUGCGAUGCCCCCAUCCUCUCAGUCACCCCCGCCCGCCAGGCUCUGUGCUGUGCCGUCCUCUGGCACACCAAGGUGCGCUACAGCUCCCUGGUGUUUCAGCCUCUGGGUGCUCAGAGCAUGUGUUUCUAUCGUCUUAUUUUAUGCCUGUACCUUUGUCAGACAGAAUCAGAAUCAUUCUGUACAUAGGUUCAUAACCUGGGUUUUAAGAGAGGGUUUUGGUCCUUUUAUCAACCCCUCUGCAGAGAAGUUUGAGUGUGGAGGUACCUCGGCGCCACCUCGUGACAGAAGCCUGAACUGCAGCCUGAACUUAGCAGAGCAGAAAAGUGGGAGGGAGGGGCUGUGGCCCAAAGCCACCAAAGAGAGCUUUCUGGAAGGCUGGGUAGGAAAGGAGGCAUACCCAGGGUGCAGGAAUACAGAAGGCCUCCAGACGGGAGGUGCAUUCUCUUUCUAUGCUGAAGAGAAAGCUGUAUGUGAGUGGAAGAAAAAGACCCUUUUUCUUUUUUGUGCUUUGAGCCCUCUGGGUAAACAGCUAGAUAUCUGUAUAAGCAAAAAUGGAUUGAUGCCGGCUGUUACCUGUGUAAUGUGCUUUUGCACUUACUGUGACCAUCUUUCCAUGUAAAUACAUUUCUAGGAUAAUGUUUUUAUUACAAGAACGUUUCAAGCUCUUUUUUUUUUUUUUUUACAUUGACCUGGUGUUACACUGUGUGGAAGCCCAAGUUUAUUUCACCAGUACCAUCCUGCUGAAAAUUUCCUUCCUGUAUCAGUUUUUCUAUUACAAACAGUAGUAUACUUAACACCCUUGCUCAUAUAUGAGCAAAUAUCUUUGUAAACAUUUCUUUGUAAGUUCCUGAAAAUAUUGUUUCCAAACAAUGGAGCCUAUAAAAUUUUAUCUAAAUACAUUACAUUCAAAAAUGCUAUAACUAAUUCCCAUUCCUAAUGACACUGUAUGAAGGUGCCUUUUCUCCACUCACGGGAAAGAAUGUGAAGUGUUCCUAAUCUGACAGGCAACAAAUCGUCUCUCAUCAUCGUUUUCAUGAUGAUGUGUCUUUAAUGCCUGACCACAAUGCCAUCCCAUGGAUGUGGCCUCAUCAAUUUUUCAACUCCAUGUUGUUUGGGAUUCACAGUGUUUCACAUACUCCCUAUUGUACACAGUGUGUGGAUGGCAUCCUUUCCCUCUCUGUAGACUGCUAUCGGGUGCAGUUCUGGGCGCACUUCACCUGGCCGUCUGUCAGCACCUGUGAGCUGCAUGUGUCCUCUUGGCCCCAGCCAACUGUCUCGGGAGAAUUCUAGUGUUGUGAUAACAGAACGUGAGGAGUGUACGUGUGUGUAUGUGUGAGUGUGUGCCUGGGGGUCUAUGUGUGUGUGUGUUUGUGAGUGUGAGUGUGUGAUUGUGCUGAAGACAUUUCCCUCUGCUUCCUUCUGCCCCUUCGUGGCUUUGCUUCCCAUCAGGUCUCCCUUCAGGCCCAGAAGGCAAGGUGGUCCUUAUGACCAAAUCAUUGUGAACAUCCCACACUACAUCCAGAAGAUGAAUUUCUCAAAGGAGAAUUGUUGCGGCAAAGGGUGGGCACCUGUGUAGCUUUUGGAUAGGUAUUGCCAUACAGACACCCAGAAAGGCAGUUCCAAGUUAGAGGCCCCAAAGGGGAGUCAUGUGAGAAAGGCCCCAGAGCAGUGAAAAAAGUGAUGCUGACACCAUGUCACAAAGGGCAGGCCCUAAACUCUGACCUGGACCCACACUCAAGCCACUGACACAAUUGGAAGAUGUGAAAGUGAUAAAAAGUAAAUCAAAUUUUGCACACAGGCACAGUCUCAGGUAUCACAUAGGGGAAAGGCCACUGCUUGGAGGAGCACGGGACAUAGAGACAGCAAGCCUGGGAUACAGCUACGUUUUUAUGUAAAUUCUUGUUUAUAUAAAAUGUAGACAUCAAGGCCUUUGUAUUAAAAACAUUGUUUCUACAGUACAACAGAAGACCAGGUCAACAUAUUUUUAACAGCUUUAUUGACAGUAUAGUUUACGGACAAUAAAAUGCAUGUACUUUAAGGUUACAAUUUGUUGUUUUCCGCAAAUCGAUGCAGUUGCACGGCCAUCAGCAUAAUUGAGUUUUAGACAUUUCUGUCACUCUAGAGAGUCCAAAUACAUGCAGUUUGCCAGUUAAUCCCUGCACCUACCCCUGGCCCCAUGGAACCACAGAUCUACACUCUGGCUCUAUGAAUUGGCCUAUUCCAGGCACUUCAUAAAAUGGAGUCAUACAACAUGUGGCCUUUUGUGACUGGAUUCUUUUAAACUGAGCAUGUUUUUGAGGUUCAUCUCUUUUGUAGCAUGUAUCAGUACUUCGUUCCUUUUAAUGGCUGAUAAUACUCCUUUGUAUGUAUAUACCACAUUUCCUUUAUCCAUUCAUCCAUUCAUGGACAUUUGGCUUGUUUCCACAUUUUCGCUAUCACGAUUAAUACUGGUAAAAGUAAUGGUGUGCAAGUUUUAUGUGCACCUGUGUUUUCAUCUCCUAGAUAAAUACCUAAGAGUGCGAUUGCUGGGUGAUACGGCAACGCCACAUGUAACUCACCAUUUGAGGAAUGCCAGACAACUUCCCAAAGGGGCUCCACUAUUUCACGUGCUUUUGGGUUCUAAUUCCUCCACAGCCUUGUCAACACUUGUUAUUAUCUGUCGUUUGGAUUAAAGCCAUCCUAGUGACUGUGAACUGCUAUCUCAUUGUGAUUUUCUUUACAGUUAUUGUGGCAUUUCCCUGCGGUGUUACCGUUUGCUUUCUCUGAUGGCUGAUGAUACUGCGGCUCUGUUCAUGUGCUUAUUGUCCGUUUCUGCAUCUUUGGAGAAAUGUCUAUUUACAUCACUUGCCCAUUUUUAAAAUGGAAUUAUUCUUUUGUCUUUAUUAUUGACUAUUAAGUGCUAUUUUUCUAUACUGAUACAAGCCCCUUAUCAGAUCGAUGAUGUCCAGACAUUUUUCCCAUUCUGUGGGUUGAAAUUCCACUCCCUUAAUGGUGUCUUUUUAAAAUACAUUUAUAUGUGUCACGUAUGUUUACACAAAGAUGCCAAAGUAUAUACUGGAGACAAAUAUACCAAAAUGUCUAUUAACAGUGAGGCCCAACUUAGAGAAAGCUCCUUUUGGCAGAAAAUCAGUGAUUUGGGCCAGUUAAAAGAGGAACCUGACCAUAAGCAUGCACUCACGUGUUGGAUAUGAUCAGUCUUUGCCAACUAGGGCAGAAGUACCAUAGAGGGUUUUAGUUUUAGGACCUAUUGCCAAGCCUCUUAGGGGCAUCCAAAUACAACCUUUCUUCCAUUCUGGGCGUUGAAUUGGGGUCUCCCUAUGCAGAGGCCUGGAAGGAUGGGUGGUGUGGGUGAUUUCCAGAACAUUCCUCCCUACCACAUACCUGUGGAGGUGAUGGGUUAGAACCUCAGCAGAGGAAGCUCGUUGCUGUCCGAAGAUGAAAGCUGGAUGCUGGGAUGUAGUGCACCUGAGCCAGGCUGGAAGUGGGCGUGGCUGGACAGUGGUCACCGUCUUGCUGGCCUCCCAGCCAAGCACUCACGCCCUACUCUCUCCAUCUGCCCGUCUGUGUAUCAGUGUGUCUGUGCCCAGGGCCCCACGACCAGGAGAAGUGGUGGUAUAUAAAGGGAACCUCCAUGCCCACUUCAGGGAUGAUGGUUCAGGCGCAGAGAGUGUGGGGAAGACCAAACGGGAGUGGCCACCCUUCCAGAGAUAAGACAGGCACAAAACCAGGCCAGAAACCUCCCUUUGUGACGUAGCAAAGAUCUAAAGGAGGGGAGUUUGAAACUCCUCAUUCCUGCCCUUGAGAAUCAGGAAGAAUCAAACUACCAAGGGUUGCCUCAUCCUUUACUCCACAUCCAGCUUGGCCUGGUGAUGGCUGCACAUUAUGAACAUAAUUAAUGGCAUUGAAUUGUACACUUAAAAUGAGUACAGUGCAAAUUUUAUGUGUAUAUAUAUCACGAUUUAAAAUGUUAUUGAAAUAAAAAUAAUUCAGAGAAAAUAAAAACACAUAGCAACAUACACACGCAUAUGCACACACACACAUUCACUGCCAGUUUCAGCUGUAGAAACACACAGAGAUAUGCAAUCACAUAUACAUAUCUGUUUUAGAUAAAUUUGUUAAAUUUGCUUCUUUUCUCCCUAAAACAGUGUCAUUUCAGUGCAUUUCCAAAGCAGUAAUAUCAUGAGUAGAUCUUUUAAAGUAUUUUCUAUUUUUGAAUUUUUAUCUCAAUAAUUUUUCCCGAUUACAACAUUUCAAGUCAUAUAGAAAUGUAUGUUUAUCCUCUGGAAUUAUCCUGUAUGGCUAUCUGCCUGGUCGCCAUCCGUGACCUGAAGUUGCCGACUGUCCAUAGACUGAUACAUGGUCUCCAGACGUGUUUCUCUGUAGGUGAUGUAGUAACUUUUAUUUACAUACCACAAAUGUGCAUUCGUGUUCACAUAUCCUUUUUCAGUACAGGUAUCACCUUAUCCAUGUUCUUCUUGAGAUUUUAAUUUGCAUUUUCUUAGCUAAUGUGUUUUGGCAUCUUUUCAGAUGUUUAUCAGGCGGGUAUACUAAUUACUCUUUAUGUCAGUACUGUGUUAUCUCCUGCCCAUCUCAGUUUAAUAGUAAGCAUGCUUCGUAAGCCGCAUGUUGUUUGAAGAUAUUUGGCAUUUCAGCCAACUUUUACUUAUUUUGCCAAGCAGGGUAUGUUAGUGUUUCAAUAAUAAUUGUAUUUAAAAACAAUACAGAUCAUUGUCACAGAAAUUGAGCAACACCUGGACAGCAUCAAUUGCCCAGGGAGACUAGCGCAUUCAGAGCCCUGGAGGUUUCAGGACACAACGCGAAAAGCUGUAGAGUAAUUCCAGGUUUAACAACUGAGCAGGCACUUACAAGGCCCUUUCCCUCAUUUGGAAACCCUGGUGGUGUAGUGGUUAAAUGCCACAGCUGCUAACCAAAAGGCUGACAGUUCAGAUCCACCAGGCACUCCUUGGAAACUCUAUGGGCCAGUUCAACUCUGUCUUAUAGGGUCCAGCUAUGAGUCAGAAUCAACUCGACGGCAACAGGUUUGGUUUUUGGGUUUUUUUCCCCUCGUUUACUUAAUCUCCUAACUCUGGUAACCCAACCUGAAUAAUGGGAAUAAUCUAAAGCAGCAUGAAUAGCUGUUAAGGUUGAGGCAGAUAAAAUACAAAUUACCUUUUUUUAAAGAAGCCUCAUGAUUUUUUUUUUUGUAAUGUCUCCUGGUUAUCUUUCAGCCCUGGUGGCACAGUGGUUAAAAUGAUCAACUGCUAACUGAAAGGUCAGCGGUUCAAAACCACCAGCGGCUCCUCGGGGGAAAGAUGUGGCAGUCUGCUUCCAUAGACAAUUACAGCCUUGGAAACCCUAUCGGGUUGCUAUGAGUUGGAAUUGACUUGAUGGCAGUGGGUUUGUUUUUUUGGUUGGUUUUAUUUCAGGAGAGACUUAACAGCUCUGCUUCUGCCUGAACUCCAUGCAUCCCCUCAGAGACUAGCCUGUCCCUUGGGCACACAUCCCAGCCUCUAGCCCAUUGGGCAGGAUUUCAUCUCCACCACCAUGUUCGUCAUCAGCAGAGUGUUUAAAAUAAACAGUCCUCAAGCCAGGAAGUCGCCAUCUAAGACUGUGCUGCUGAGUGUCCUGUGGGGUGGGCAAGAGAUGGAGCCCCAUUCCUGUCACACAUCAGUGUUGGGCCCUGGAAGAGUACAACCCUUUUAGGGCUUGAGUUUGGUCAUCUGUAAAGUGGGAAUGAUGAUAGCUUCCUCAGUGAUGUCUUAUGAAGAGAAAAUAUUAAAAUCUAGGAAUCAUGGGUACUGCAUAAUAGCUCCUCAACAGAUGCUUGUCCUGUUCCCGCCCUGUCUUCUCCCUUGCAUGGAAGAGAUGACCCUGACCUAAAACAAAGGGCAUAGUCCUCACAAGUAGCAUCUGGAAUGUAGCACCAGGAAGUAAAAAACACAUACCUUUAUAUAACAUAUGAACUUUAGUCCCAUUUCUAUAUUUCGGAUGCAUUCCCUGACUGAGUUGGGAUAAGGGAAGAAAAUCAUCAUGCCAUUUUUUUUAAUCCCAUGUGCAACCCUGUCCUUGUUUCUUUCUUUGUUCUGUCCUCGUUACUUUACCUUUUACGUUGAAUGUAAGUAAAAGAGGUUCCCAUUGAGCUCUAGACAGAAGAGACAUUCCAGGAGAACAAUGCCUAAUAAAGGGUCUUGGACAGAAGACGAGUCAGGAGACCUGAGACCUAAACGCAUCACUGACCACAGGCCCUUGAGUGAGCCACUUCCCCUCGCUGGCCUCAGCUGUCACACAGAGCAACACUCCAUGUAACUGUGCUCAGGGAUGAGGGCUUUGGGGUCAGAUAAACUGGGGCUUAGACCUAGGCUCCACUAGGUGAUGGUUGGGUGAUCUUAGCAAGUUUUCUUUUUGUUCUGAAUUGCAUUUCUUCCUUUCUAAAAUGAGGAUGAGAAUGAGACCUACCCCAUGUCUGUGGUUAAGAUUAAAGGAGAUAAUACUUGGAAACCAGUAUGGUACCCGAAUGAUACUUUGUAAGUUAUGAGUAGACAGUCACUUCUUUUUACCAACAGUGUUAUUAUUAGACUUCCCAACCAUCAACAAGGAACAUAGCCUGGGUGAAUUUACUAUGCUGUAUGUUUACAUGUAGUGUGUGAUGGUGUUUCCCAUCAGAUAUAUCCUUCAAAAAAUGGGGCUUGAGCAACUGUAAAGUGUUCUCAAAAAGUAAAAUUACUUUCUUCAUACCAUGUGAUUUCAUGUUACAGACAAAAAUAAAAAGAUAUAUAUGUGUGCGUACAUAUGUAUAUAUAAGACGGUCAUAUGAAAUGCAUAUAUAAAGUAUAUACAGGACAAUCGUAUAUCAGUCCAAACCCACCACUGUUGAGUCGAUUCUGACACAUAGCAACCCUAUAAGACAGAGUAGAGCUGCCCCAUAGGGUAUUCAAGGCCAUCAAUCUUUACGGAAGCAGACUGCCACAUCUUUCUUCUGCAGAGCGAUUGGUGUGUUCAAAUCGACAUUAGCAGCCAAGCACUUUACCACUGCGCCAGAAGGGCUCCUUAAUUGUACAUAGGCAUACAUGAAAAUAACAGAAGGACUUUCAGCAAAAGGUAAGCAGUUAUCCUUCGAUCAAAUUUCUGAUUAUAUUUUCAUCUCAGUAUGUGUGUCUAUUUUAAACAUUUAUAAAACCAAGUGUGCAUUACGUUGAUGAUCAGAAAUACAGCCCCUAAAAGCUUUCUUUGUAAUUUAUUCAAUGUUCUAAACAUACAAAAUGGUACACAGAAUAACAUAAAAAAGAACUCAUUCCCUGUAGGCAGGUACAGAAAUGAGCUUUACCAAGAGAAGUGCACGGGUUUCACUAGGUGUCUUUGUGGACCUUGUACUUUUCACAACACAUGCUGUUUUUGAGAUUCGUCUACAUUCUGAUUCCUAUACCCUUAUUUCAUUCAUUUUUAUUUCUAUAUUGUAUUCCACUAUACGGUUGUUCCAGAAUUUGUUAUUCAGAAUAAUGUGUUGAUGGGCAUUUGGGUUCUUUUCAGAUCUGGAAUAUUAAAAGGAGUGCUGCAAAGGACUUUAUGUAAAUGUAUCCUUGUGCACACAUGUUGGGGGUUCUGGAUGUACCCCUGUGGGUCCACGUGGGGUGUCAUCAGGGAGGCACAAUCUGCCAGGUAGGGUCUAACUGCUCUGCAAAGUCAUCAGACCGGUUUACAAUCUGGGAGGUCCUGUUUCUCUACAUUGUCCAUCUAAAGGGGAGGUUAAAUGCCUGGGUCCAGUCAUGGGUGUUGACUGAAGCACAUGGGGGUUAUUGUUGCAGCUGUUCCUCUUAGUAGCUCUGUGACUUUGGAACAUGUACUUAACCUCUCUGAGGCUCACUCCUUUAUAAACAGAAGUCCUGAUACCAAGCAGAAUAUCUAGAACAUGUAGAGAGGCAGCAAAUGUUUAUUUCCUUCCCAUUCCAUUCUGUUACAGAGAUUUUAUUUUGACCUCAGAUCAUCACUGUGUCUUAGCAUUUCAGGAAUGUUCCAAUAUGGAGAACAAACCACUCGUGCACAUUAGGUAACAGAUUUGGGGCCAUGUCU
Molecule: long non-coding RNA, 13777 nt
Organism: Loxodonta africana (African savanna elephant)
Lineage: Eukaryota; Metazoa; Chordata; Mammalia; Proboscidea; Elephantidae
Exons: 5
Source: RefSeq, a predicted model, not a curated record